GGGGUGUAGCUCAGUGGUAGAGCGUUCGCUUUGCAUGUGAAAGGCCCUGGGUUCGAUCUCCAGAGCAAACGCUUCG
RNAcentral lists this transfer RNA (76 nucleotides) under Trichonephila clavata. RNAcentral's name for it is "tRNA-Ala". The stretch from base 7 to 63 matches the Rfam family "tRNA", at positions 8 to 63 of the family's 71-position model. Rfam says of the family: Transfer RNA (tRNA) molecules are approximately 80 nucleotides in length. Their secondary structure includes four short double-helical elements and three loops (D, anti-codon, and T loops). Lineage: Eukaryota; Metazoa; Arthropoda; Arachnida; Araneae; Nephilidae. The record is from RNAcentral.